This 581-nucleotide long non-coding RNA is filed under the name Malus domestica (apple). RNAcentral's name for it is "long non-coding RNA (MDOM_LNC014417)". The record is from RNAcentral. Lineage: Eukaryota; Viridiplantae; Streptophyta; Magnoliopsida; Rosales; Rosaceae.
CCCAAAAGAGAUCGAAACGGCCGAGAAAGUCCCCGACUUUGUGGACACCUUUUACAACUUAGUCACCGAUAUUUACGAGUGGGGUUGGGGCCAGUCCUUUCACUUCUCCCCGCACGUCCCCGGCAAGUCCCACAAGGACGCCACGCGCCUCCACGAGGAGAUGGCCGUCGAUCUCAUCGACGUGAAACCCGGAGACCGAAUUCUCGACGUCGGAUGCGGCGUAGGUGGGCCUAUGCGUGCCAUCGCGGCCCACUCGCGCGCCAACGUCACCGGGAUCACGAUCAACGAGUACCAGGUUAAACGGGCGCGUCAGCACAAUAAGAAGGCCGGCCUCGAAUCGCUCUGCGAGGUCGUCUGCGGGAACUUCCUCGAGAUGCCGUUCCCGGAGAACAGCUUUGACGGCGCGUACUCAAUCGAGGCGACAUGCCACGCGCCGAAGUUGGAGGAGGUGUACGCUGAGAUCUUCAGGGUUCUGAAGCCGGGGGCUCUGUACGUGUCGUACGAGUGGGUGACGACGGACAAGUACAAGGGUGACGACGCCGAACACAUGGAUGUCAUUCAGGGGAUCGAGAGAGGGGACG